GACAGAGGGAGCUAGUGUUGUUCGGAAUGACUGGGCGUAAAGGGUGCGCAGGCGGUCACUUAAGUAAGAUGUUAAAGCCCCAGGCUUAACCUGGGAAUCGCGUUUUAUACUGAGUGACUAGAGUAUGAGAGAGGAAAGCGGAAUUCCUAGUGUAGAGGUGAAAUUCGUAGAUAUUAGGAGGAAUACCGGAGGCGAAGGCGGCUUUCUGGAUCAUUACUGACGCUGAGGCACGAAAGCGUGGGGAGCAAACAGG
Molecule: ribosomal RNA, 253 nt
Filed under: uncultured bacterium
Lineage: Bacteria
Description: partial 16S ribosomal RNA
Rfam family: Bacterial small subunit ribosomal RNA
Source: RNAcentral